CAGAAAAGAAAAUAUAUUCAUGCAAUACACCUAACCACUAGCAAUAAAAGUCUCUCAGGAGGUGUUUGUAAAUCUCCUCCUUACUGGAAGCCUAAAAUAAAAGGAAAGUGAGGGGGAGUGAGUUACCUUUUUCUUCCACACCCUUUCCCAGAACACCUGGCAAUGCCCAUAGGAACUCAGCAAUGAGAAGGCAGCUGGACCAGAAGAAUCGCAAAAUUGUGGAACUGUAGUGACUCCAUCAUCACCGAAUUUCAGUAGAAGUGUGGCACAUCCCAGGAUAGAUUCCACCACAGUGGAAGCACAACCCUCAGGGUUCCCUCUUGAACACAUGGAAAUCAGGCUCCAGCUCUUCUUGUUAGCUCUAGCUCUAAAGACAUUAUGCGCUUGACAUGCCAGCUCAGGAAGCUGAAUGCCAGAGGUCUGCUUUAUUUGGGCAGUAAUCAACGAGACUUGUAGGUUUACCUAAGGACUUCCGCAUCAGUUCUCCAGGUACCGCAUCUUGGGGUCUUCCUUGUUUGACUUCAGUAAUUGCUUUUUUUGUGCAAAGAAAUGGGCUAAAGACAUAAGGAUUCACUGCUGAAAUCAUGAGGCUUUCAGUUGUUUUCCAAUUUUCCCACGGAAUUAUCUGUGUUUACAAAUGUAUCCAGAUUUCACUUUGAACUUUCUUCCUUCCUUGUGCCCUUAAAGAUAAAUGAAUUCCUAAACAUGUUUGUACUUGCAAAUUCAUAGAUUUAUACACUUCAUGCCACUUUAAUCACUUUAAUCUGAAGUCAUGUCAGGCCAACU
RNAcentral lists this long non-coding RNA (786 nucleotides) under Coturnix japonica (Japanese quail). RNAcentral's name for it is "lncRNA (ENSCJPG00005002082.1)". Lineage: Eukaryota; Metazoa; Chordata; Aves; Galliformes; Phasianidae. The record is from RNAcentral.